RNAcentral lists this unclassified non-coding RNA (2075 nucleotides) under Daphnia magna. Its description in RNAcentral is "alpha-tocopherol transfer protein-like, transcript variant X4". Lineage: Eukaryota; Metazoa; Arthropoda; Branchiopoda; Diplostraca; Daphniidae. The record is from RNAcentral.
GUUAAAGUCUCAAAUCAGAAUUCCUCCCUCUACAACACACUAAUUUCCAGAGUACUUGCGUAUUAGUCGAUCACUAAAUAUUGUUUCAAUCAGACCACUUGCUGCCAGAGCCUGAAAUAGAAGAACAUCUCUAAAAUAUCGCAAGUGGACAAUUAGUUUGGUGGCGUUACGCUGGUCGGUAACAAGUGCAAUCGGAAAUGAAUAACAACGCGAAAUCUCGUAUUCUUUUCAACGAUAACGAGCUCAUAUCAUACUUCCGUGUGCUCAUCAAGGAAUCCAACAUUGAUCUCUCAAUGAGUGAUGAAUUGCUAAUGUGCUUUAUCCAUGCACGUAAAGGUGACGUUCACAGAGCGAUGAAAUUGCUGAACAACUACGUGAGAAUGACAAAACAAUAUCCUAAACUUGCACAGUUAUGUCCGUUGCGUGUGAAACACGUGCUCGAUUCGCACUUUUUUGCUUCUCCGCAUCGCGAGCAAAAUGGAUGUCGCAUAUUGUUGAUAAAUUUACGGAAGUGGGAUCUCCGCAUUUGUAGUUUGGAAGACAUUUUCCUUGCUUUAGUGUUCUGCUUUCAGAGACUGGUAUCUGAACUUGAAACCCAAACUAAUGGUAUAGUACUUAUCCUCGAUGUUAAAGAUUUGUCACUUAAUCACGUAAGGCAGUUUACACCGUAUUGGGUUAAGAUAAUUGCGGAUAUUGCUCAGGAUGUGUUUCCUAUCCGAUUUCAAGGAAUUCAUGUUGUUAAUGAACCUCGGAUUAUGAAAGUCCUUGUAGCCAUAUUUUGGCCCUUUUUAUCGAACAAAAUUCGCAGUCGGUUGUUCUUUCACGGCCAAUGUUUCGCAACUGUUCACCACCACGUUGAUCCCGCUUGUCUGCCCAACGACUAUAACGGCUGUAUGAAAUCGAUGGACACCAUGCGUUUUUCUAGCAUAUUUUUCGAGAUAUUUAAAUGCACGUGCUUUUCGCGAGCCUUUCUAACAAAAACAAUUGGAUUUUGAAUGGACCCGGAGCAAGAAAUGCGGAUCGAGGAAAUUCGCUUAGCUUAAUCAAAAGCUACAACAAAUCUCAAUAUGGUUUUUUUACAUAAAUUGAUUAUUUAAAAUGUCAAAAUCUUCACGUUCAAAUCAAAUUAGCAGACUUACAGGUCAUCCUAGCCUAUUGGAAAUAUCUCAACAAAUUGGUACUAUUCUUGUAAAUUAUCGCUAGUGGUUAGUAAUCUAUAAGAAUAAGCUAUCGUUACUAGCUGUAGUUCUGAUUCAUAUGCAUGAUAAUCCUGUUAAUUUCCAUGAAUGCAGUUUAAUCAAGUGGUUUGCUGGAAAGGCAGUGUUUUGUAUCUAAUAGAUCCUGUACAGUUAUAACAAUAAGGUUAUCUAGGCAUCAGUGUGUCCUUAUUUGGAACCUUGGUGCUUCUCUUAGGUCGGUACAUGUAGACUACGUACAUUUUCCUCAUUACCAAAAGCAUUAUCAAGCACUUGAUGAUUGCCAAGGUUUCUUUAUCAGCUAUUAGUAGCUUUAUUUAAUGUAAUUACAACGUAUUACGUAUAAUGUGGCUAAAAAUAACUAUUUUUGAGAAGGACACAAAUUAUUUCAUGUUUAUGGGCAAAAUGGAGAUCGAUACUUCCUUGACAUAAGUGACAAUGCAAGGAAAACAAGACACCACAUAUAUCGGCCGUAUAGAAAACACAGCUAAAAAUGGGUUCCAGCUAUUGUUUUAAUCUGAAAUACAUUAUACUUCAUCGAAGUAUAGGCCUUGUUAUCCCCUGCUAUCCCUCACAUUUUCUACGGUUUCAAGUGAAGUAAAAACAUAUUUGACCUAGUUUUGCUUACAGGAAAACCUUCGUCCUUGACCUGCCUGACCAUUUUCUAAAUGACAAUGGUCUACAAGUAGACUUGUACUGAGUGGGAAAUUCAGAGCGCACAUGCUAGUUGUAUUUGUGACUGUGAACAAGUCGUACGGGGGGGCCGUUAGAACAUAUCAACCACUUUCGACUGGAAAUUUAGUCGUACUUUGUUGAGAACCAAGGUUUGACAACUUUGGUGAGUGUAACGAAAAAUGAACAGUAAUACGAGGUCUCAAA